RNAcentral lists this ribosomal RNA (619 nucleotides) under Clostridioides difficile. RNAcentral's name for it is "bacterial LSU rRNA". It matches the Rfam family "Bacterial large subunit ribosomal RNA", at positions 1897 to 2514 of the family's 2925-position model. The record is from RNAcentral. Lineage: Bacteria; Bacillati; Bacillota; Clostridia; Peptostreptococcales; Peptostreptococcaceae.
AAUCGAAGCAGUGAACUUAAGCCCCAGUAAACGGCGGCCGUAACUAUAACGGUCCUAAGGUAGCGAAAUUCCUUGUCGGGUAAGUUCCGACCCGCACGAAAGGCGUAACGAUUUGGGCACUGUCUCAACAACAGACUCGGUGAAAUUGUAAUUCCGGUGAAGAUGCCGGAUACCUGCGACAGGACGGAAAGACCCCAUGGAGCUUUACUGUAGCUUGACAUUGGGUCUUGGUACUACAUGUACAGGAUAGGUGGGAGGCUUUGAAACCAGGACGCCAGUUUUGGCGGAGCCAUCCUUGGGAUACCACCCUUGUAGUACUGGGACUCUAACCAUAGGCCAUGAAUCUGGUCUUGGGACACUGUCAGGUGGGCAGUUUGACUGGGGCGGUCGCCUCCCAAAAGGUAACGGAGGCGCUCAAAGGUUCUCUCAGUACGGUCGGAAAUCGUACGUAGAGUGUAAAGGCAAAAGAGAGCUUGAUUGCAAGACAUACAGGUCGAGCAAGGAUGAAAAUCGGACUUAGUGAUCCGGUGGUUCUGCGUGGAAGGGCCAUCGCUCAACGGAUAAAAGCUACCCUGGGGAUAACAGGCUUAUCUCCCCCAAGAGUCCACAUCGACGGGGA